This 57-nucleotide transfer RNA is filed under the name Muntiacus reevesi (Reeves' muntjac). It matches the Rfam family "tRNA", at positions 8 to 63 of the family's 71-position model. From Rfam's summary of the family: Transfer RNA (tRNA) molecules are approximately 80 nucleotides in length. RNAcentral also lists the same sequence under 3 other names. Lineage: Eukaryota; Metazoa; Chordata; Mammalia; Artiodactyla; Cervidae. The record is from Rfam by way of RNAcentral.
UGGCUCAGAUGGUAAAGAAUUUGCCUGCAAAGCAGGAGACCCAGGUUCAAUCCCUGG